UUUGACCUCGGAUCAGGUAGGAAUACCCGCUGAACUUAAGCAUAUCAAU
Molecule: ribosomal RNA, 49 nt
Filed under: Phomopsis sp. ISPaVe ERKV310
Lineage: Eukaryota; Fungi; Ascomycota; Sordariomycetes; Diaporthales; Diaporthaceae
Also listed under: 5 other names
Description: partial 28S ribosomal RNA
Source: RNAcentral